AAACCAGCACCUCAAGUGGUCAGGAGGAUUAUUGGGCCUAAAGCAUCCGUAGCCUGCUGCAUAAGUUUUCGGUUAAAUCCAUACGCUCAACGUAUGGGCUGCCGGGAAUACUGUGCAGCUAGGGAGUGGGAGAGGUAGACGGUACUCAGUAGGAAGGGGUAAAAUCCUUUGAUCUAUUGAUGACCACCUGUGGCGAAGGCGGUCUACCAGAACACGUUCGACGGUGAGGGAUGAAAGCUGGGGGAGCAAACCGGAUUAGAAACCCGAGUAGUCC
RNAcentral lists this ribosomal RNA (274 nucleotides) under uncultured bacterium. Its description in RNAcentral is "partial 16S ribosomal RNA". It matches the Rfam family "Archaeal small subunit ribosomal RNA", at positions 473 to 747 of the family's 1478-position model. The record is from RNAcentral.